RNAcentral lists this ribosomal RNA (478 nucleotides) under uncultured bacterium. RNAcentral describes it as "partial 16S ribosomal RNA". It matches the Rfam family "Bacterial small subunit ribosomal RNA", at positions 28 to 507 of the family's 1533-position model. The record is from RNAcentral.
GAUGAACGCUGGCGGCGUGCCUAACACAUGCAAGUCGAACGGAGUCCAGCCUUAGAGACCUUCGGGUCAAAGAGGGGAAGACUGAGUGGCGGACGGGUGAGUAACACGUGGGCAACCUGGCUCAUAGAGGGGGAUAACAGAGAGAAAUUUCUGCUAAUACCGCAUAAGCACACACUGCCGCAUGGCAGAGUGUGAAAAGAGAAUCGCUAUGAGAUGGACCCGCGUCUGAUUAGCCAGUUGGCAGGGUAAGAGCCUACCAAAGCGACGAUCAGUAGCCGAUUUGAGAGGAUGAACGGCCACAUUGGGACUGAGACACGGCCCAAACUCCUACGGGAGGCAGCAGUGGGGGAUAUUGCACAAUGGGGGGAACCCUGAUGCAGCGACGCCGCGUGAGUGAAGAAGUAUUUCGGUAUGUAAAGCUCAAUCAGCAGGGAAGAUAAUGACAGUACCUGAAUAAGAAGCCCCGGCUAACUACGUG